AGUCUCCUUUUCUUUUUUCCCAACACCAAAUUACGGAAGGAACGAGGCCUUGCGCUGAGUACCUGUCCGGAUGGAACAGAGUUGCUGGUACUUCGGUAUUGGCAGCGCUGCUCCAACCCUUUAAACACUUAAGAAUUAAAGAAUGUUAAAACCAUUGUCUUCGGACAUAAACUAAUAUACAAAAAAAAAACAACGGAUCUCUUGGUUCUCCCAUCGAUGAAGAACGCAGCGAAAUGCGAUAAGUAAUGUGAAUUGCAGAAUUCAGUGAAUCAUCGAAUCUUUGAACGCACCUUGCGCCCUUGGGUAUUCUCAAGGGCAUGCCUGUUUGAGUGUCAUAAUACUCUCAACUCUCAAUCUUUUUGUAAGAGAAGAUUGCUUGGAGUUGGUGAUGGGCGCUUGCCAGAUGUAACAGUCUUGCUCGCCUUAAAUUAAUCAGUGGAUCUCUUCGAGUCCGGUCUGACUAUGUGUGAUAAUUUGAUCACAUAGAAUGUGCUUGUCACAACCGGAUUCUGUAUAGAGGCUCUGCUUCCAACACGGAAUGAUUCUUCGGAAUCAUCGAUAGCUUUGUAGCUUGACCUCAAAUCAGGCUCGUAUUUGCUGGG
RNAcentral lists this ribosomal RNA (602 nucleotides) under Tilletia indica. RNAcentral describes it as "eukaryotic LSU rRNA". The stretch from base 182 to 335 matches the Rfam family "5.8S ribosomal RNA". Lineage: Eukaryota; Fungi; Basidiomycota; Exobasidiomycetes; Tilletiales; Tilletiaceae. The record is from RNAcentral.